Molecule: ribosomal RNA, 406 nt
Filed under: uncultured bacterium
Lineage: Bacteria
Description: bacterial SSU rRNA
Rfam family: Bacterial small subunit ribosomal RNA
Source: RNAcentral
UGGGGAAUAUUGGGCAAUGGGCGCAAGCCUGACCCAGCAAUGCCGCGUGAAGGAAGAAGGCUUUCGGGUUGUAAACUUCUUUGACAGGGGAAGAGACGAAGACGGUACCCUGAAAACAAGCCACGGCUAACUACGUGCCAGCAGCCGCGGUAAUACGUAGGUGGCGAGCGUUGUCCGGAUUUACUGGGUGUAAAGGGCGUGUAGCCGGGCUGACAAGUCAGAUGUGAAAUCCCGCGGCUCAACCGCGGAACUGCAUUUGAAACUGUUGGUCUUGAGUACUGGAGAGGCAGACGGAAUUCCUAGUGUAGCGGUGAAAUGCGUAGAUAUUAGGAGGAACACCAGUGGCGAAGGCGGUCUGCUGGACAGCAACUGACGGUGAGGCGCGAAAGCGUGGGGAGCAAACAGG